GGGCCGUUAACUCAAUGGUAGAGUGUCUGCCUCUUAAGCAGAGAGUUGUUGGUUCGAGCCCAACACGGCCCACCA
RNAcentral lists this transfer RNA (75 nucleotides) under Desulfobulbaceae bacterium. Its description in RNAcentral is "tRNA-Lys". It matches the Rfam family "tRNA". Rfam says of the family: Transfer RNA (tRNA) molecules are approximately 80 nucleotides in length. Their secondary structure includes four short double-helical elements and three loops (D, anti-codon, and T loops). Further hydrogen bonds mediate the characteristic L-shaped molecular structure. tRNAs have two regions of fundamental functional importance: the anti-codon, which is responsible for specific mRNA codon recognition, and the 3' end, to which the tRNAs corresponding amino acid is attached (by aminoacyl-tRNA synthetases). tRNAs cope with the degeneracy of the genetic code in two manners: having more than one tRNA (with a specific anti-codon) for a particular amino acid; and 'wobble' base-pairing, i.e. permitting non-standard base-pairing at the 3rd anti-codon position. Lineage: Bacteria; Pseudomonadati; Thermodesulfobacteriota; Desulfobulbia; Desulfobulbales; Desulfobulbaceae. The record is from RNAcentral.